Molecule: non-coding RNA, 23 nt
Filed under: Cricetulus griseus (Chinese hamster)
Lineage: Eukaryota; Metazoa; Chordata; Mammalia; Rodentia; Cricetidae
Source: RNAcentral
AGGGAAUAGAAAAGGACAGUCUG